GGACCGCGGGCAGCGCGGCCCCGAGCAUGACGGCGGCGCGGGCGCCCGGCGCGGCCCUUCUCGGAAGUGCGGAGCCACCGACGCCUCCCUCCCGCGGGCCCGGGCGAGGACGGGCGGAGCACAGGGAGCAAAGCCCCGGGAGUGGCGCUGCCGCAGGCCUGUCGACCCCUCUACAGCCCUUAGCACACGUCGCCAAUCUUCCCUCUGAUGUUCGUUGUCUGGUCUAAUGCCCAGCCCGGGAGCCUACAUCGCGCCGGCAGUCACGCCGCCUUCGUCCCCUUUCAUGAGGGAAGGUGGCUCAGGCCGUGAGCGUCUUCAGCUAUCCCGACACCGCUGAAGAGCGCCGGCCAGAGGGUUGUACAAUGUCCUGCAGUUUCGGCUUGUCUGAUGUUCCCUCUUCUGGAAGAUUGGAAGUUGGAAGAACAGGAUUCCGGUUAUCCUUUUUUUAUCAAGAAUAUCAAAGAAGUGAUGUGCUCUCAGGGCGUCACCUCACAGACUCCCUUUGCUCAACUUUACUCAAGUGACUGAGGACAGGUCGAGGAAAUCAGUCACUUCUCCGGAUGGUUGUUGCUACAAGGACUUGAACUUCAUGCGGGCAGGUGUGCCUCUCUGCAGUCCUUUUUGUUUUUGUCUUGGUCAUUGUCCUCUUCCACUCUGCUCAUCAGCUCCCACAGGCCCAGGAGUGGGGAAAAAGGAAUGAAGAGAAAAGGCUAAUGAGGAAGACCAGUCAAGAAGAGGCUGUACAAAUAAUCCAGGGAGAAAAAAAGAGAAAGGCAUGAAUGAAGACAUCUGGCAAUGGAGAUAGCUACUCUUUGGGAAGCCGGAGCUGAUUCCCUUUAAGAAAGAAACAGUUAUAUUUUGCACAUAAGAAAAGACAAGAAACAGCUACAGGCUAUCUGAUGAAUCGAAUAACAACAUUCCCACA
Molecule: long non-coding RNA, 925 nt
Organism: Manis javanica (Malayan pangolin)
Lineage: Eukaryota; Metazoa; Chordata; Mammalia; Pholidota; Manidae
Source: RefSeq, a predicted model, not a curated record